GUCCACGCCGUAAACGAUGAGUGCUAAGUGUUAGAGGGUUUCCGCCCUUUAGUGCUGAAGUUAACGCAUUAAGCACUCCGCCUGGGGAGUACGGCCGCAAGGCUGAAACUCAAAGGAAUUGACGGGGGGCCGCACAAGCGGUGGAGCAUGUGGUUUAAUUAGAAGCAACGCGAAGAACCUUACCAGGUCUUGACAUCCUGUGAAAACCGUAGAGAUAGGGCUUCUCCUUCGGGAGCAGAGUGACAGGUGGUGCAUGGUUGUCGUCAGCUCGUGUCGUGAGAUGUUGGGUUAAGUCCCGCAACGAGCGCAACCCUUGAUCUUAGUUGCCAUCAUUAAGUUGGGCACUGUAAGGUGACUGCCGGUGACAAACCGGAGGAAGGUGGGGAUGACGUCAAAUCAUCAUGCCCCUUAUGACCUGGGCUACACACGUGCUACAAUGGACGGUACAAAGUGCUGCAAGACCGCGAGGUGGAGCUAAUCUCAUAAAACCGUUCUCAGUUCGGAUUGUAGGCUGCAACU
This 519-nucleotide ribosomal RNA is filed under the name Bacillus thuringiensis. RNAcentral describes it as "bacterial SSU rRNA". It matches the Rfam family "Bacterial small subunit ribosomal RNA", at positions 793 to 1312 of the family's 1533-position model. The record is from RNAcentral. Lineage: Bacteria; Bacillati; Bacillota; Bacilli; Caryophanales; Bacillaceae.